This 506-nucleotide ribosomal RNA is filed under the name uncultured bacterium. Its description in RNAcentral is "partial 16S ribosomal RNA". It matches the Rfam family "Bacterial small subunit ribosomal RNA", at positions 29 to 523 of the family's 1533-position model. The record is from RNAcentral.
AGUGAACGCUGGCGGUAGGCCUAACACAUGCAAGUCGAACGGCAGCACAGAGGAGCUUGCUCCUUGGGUGGCGAGUGGCGGACGGGUGAGGAAUACAUCGGAAUCUACUCUGUCGUGGGGGAUAACGUAGGGAAACUUACGCUAAUACCGCAUACGACCUACGGGUGAAAGCAGGGGACCUUCGGGCCUUGCGCGAUUGAAUGAGCCGAUGUCGGAUUAGCUAGUUGGCGGGGUAAAGGCCCACCAAGGCGACGAUCCGUAGCUGGUCUGAGAGGAGGAUCAGCCACACUGGAACUGAGACACGGUCCAGGCUCCGACGGGAGGCAGCAGUGGGGAAUAUUGGAAAAUGGGCGCAAGCCUGAUCCAGCCAUACCGCGUGGGUGAAGAAGGCCUUCGGGUUGUAAAGCCCUUUUGUUGGGAAAGAAAUCCAGCUGGCUAAUACCCGGUUGGGAUGACGGUACCCAAAGAAUAAGCACCGGCUAACUUCGUGCCAGCCGCCGCAGUAA